Molecule: ribosomal RNA, 437 nt
Filed under: uncultured Oscillospiraceae bacterium
Lineage: Bacteria; Bacillati; Bacillota; Clostridia; Eubacteriales; Oscillospiraceae
Description: bacterial SSU rRNA
Rfam family: Bacterial small subunit ribosomal RNA
Source: RNAcentral
ACGGGAGGCAGCAGUGGGGAAUAUUGGGCAAUGGGCGAAAGCCUGACCCAGCAACGCCGCGUGAAGGAAGAAGGCCUUCGGGUUGUAAACUUCUUUUACCAGGGACGAAGGACGUGACGGUACCUGGAGAAAAAGCAACGGCUAACUACGUGCCAGCAGCCGCGGUAAUACGUAGGGAGCAAGCGUUAUCCGGAUUUACUGGGUGUAAAGGGCGUGUAGGCGGGACAGCAAGUCAGAUGUGAAAGCACGAGGCUCAACUUCGUGUCUGCAUUUGAAACUGCUGUUCUUGAGUGCUGGAGAGGCUAACGGAACUCCUAGUGUAGCGGUGAAAUGCGUAGAUAUUAGGAAGAACACCAGUGGCGAAGGCGGUUAGCUGGACAGUAACUGACGCUGAGGCGCGAAAGCGUGGGUAGCAAACAGGAUUAGAUACCCUGGUA